This 1902-nucleotide ribosomal RNA is filed under the name Triticum aestivum (bread wheat). Its description in RNAcentral is "partial small subunit ribosomal RNA". The record is from RNAcentral. Lineage: Eukaryota; Viridiplantae; Streptophyta; Magnoliopsida; Poales; Poaceae.
AUGAAAGGGUCGAGGGAAGGCGAUCCGAUAUGCAUCAGUGACAGCGAAGAAACAGUUCAAAUGGAAACCAAUGGGUUAUCUCUCAAGACUCAGGAAAUCGAGUCAAAAAGGAAGUGGGAGACAGCCGCAGACCUCAGCCGCCGCUUUUGCAGUAACCAACAUGAAAGUCCAUGGGAAGGCGGUACAGCGAAGCACAUCGCAUGCCAUUCCUCUGGGUACCAAGGCCACUCUUCGCGAGAGUGGCCUCCAUGGAAUGAUGGUUCGCUCGCUACCACGCUAGGAGAAGUACUGGACCCCGACAAGUCUAGUCCAAUAUUCAGAGCAUGUAAAACAAAAAACUCAGGGAAGAGAAGGAUAUGCUUUACAUGCCGUGAAGAAGGUCACUAUGACCGUCAGUGUCCUCAAAAGUUAAGAGCUAUGUCUGCCAACCUGUCAAAAGUAGUCGAAGAGUUGCCUCCACGGCAUGAUGGUUCACUCACUACCCCGCUAGGGAGGCAAAGCAGUAACCAACAUAAGAGUCCAUGGGAAGGCAGCACAACAGAGCACAUCGCAUGCCAUUCCUCUGGGUACCAAGGCCAAUAUUCGCAAGAGUGGCUUCUGUGGAAUUAUGGUUUGCUCACUACCUUGCUAGGGUGGCAAAAUGAUUUCCGCUUUUUCAGUAACCAACAUGAAAGUCCUUCGGAAGGCGGCCAAACAGAGCACAUCGCAUGCCAUUCCUCUGGGUACCAAGGCCACUAUUCGCAAGAGUGGCCUCCACGGAAUUAUGGUUCGCUCACUACCUCACUAGGGAGGCAAAAAGAUUUCCACUUUUGCAGUAGUCAACGUGAAAGUCCAUGGGAAGGCGGCAAAACAGAGUAUCAGGACAAAAUGAAUGGGAUAAUCACUUGUUUGGUUUGUGGCAAGGAAGGACAUUACAGUUGUGACUGCCCUUUCAAGGAUCAGGAGCACAAAGUCAUUUGCACAUUCUGUAGCAAAAAUGGCCACUGUAGCAUGUGGUGUUGCCAGCAGAACAAGUCGGAGAGUCGCGCUUGCACCCGCUGUGGAGAGAUAGGGCAUACUGCUAGUACACAUGGUCUCGGUUGCUCAAGCUGUGACGAAUAUCAUCUGGAUGGAGAGUGCCGACUGAGCGAAGUUAAAUGCUUUGUUUGUGAAUGUCAGGAUCAUUAUCUUGCUCAGUGCCCCUUGAAUUUCCAAGGUGCUCUGCGGCUUGCACUAUCAAAACGAGGCAGCACAUCAUCUGCACCUGCCAAGUGUUCCGCAAAAUCAGAAGGAAAAGUACUUAGAGCCGAUGGGUCUAGUCCAAUUUGCUUUACGUGCCGUGAAGAAGGUCACUUUGCCUUUCAGUGUCCUCAGAACAGCCCCAGCGUGUCCGAAGAAUUUGAAGAGAGCAGCACUAUAGCUACAGCCACCAACCUGUCCAAAGAAUUAGAAGGCCAGGACCCUGGUACUGCCAAACAAUCAUCAGAAACGAAGCCGAUAUUGUACGAUCAGUGUUGCCCCUCAAAAGCAAAAGUACUGACCUCCAACAAGUCUAGUCCAAUGGUUAGAACAUGUAAAACAAAAACAGAAGGGGAGAAAAGGAUGUGCUCUACAUGCCGUGAAGAAGGUCACUAUGCCCGUAUGUGUCCGCAGAAGUUCGGAGCUAUAUCUGGCAACACGUCAAAAGAAUUAGAAGAGAGCAGCACUAUUGCUACAUCCUCCAACAUGUCCAAAGUAUUGGAAGAACAGGACCCUGGUACUGCUAAACAUUCAUCAGAUAUGAAGUGGGUUCUUCGAUGUGCUAGCUGUGGUCAGGAAGGGCACAGGGCCAGGAGCUGUCCAACACGUGUGUUUAUAUGCUCCUUAUGCAAUGAAGAAGGCCACAAAGCCAAGAAAUGCCCUCAGAAGCGCCAGAAGCGUUAA